RNAcentral lists this ribosomal RNA (497 nucleotides) under uncultured bacterium. Its description in RNAcentral is "partial 16S ribosomal RNA". It matches the Rfam family "Bacterial small subunit ribosomal RNA", at positions 28 to 507 of the family's 1533-position model. The record is from RNAcentral.
GAUGAACGCUGGCGGCGUGCCUAAUACAUGCAAGUCGAGCGAACAGACGAGGAGCUUGCUCCUCUGACGUUAGCGGCGGACGGGUGAGUAACACGUGGAUAACCUACCUAUAAGACUGGGAUAACUUCGGGAAACCGGAGCUAAUACCGGAUAAUAUAUUGAACCGCAUGGUUCAAUAGUGAAAGACGGCUUUGCUGUCACUUAUAGAUGGAUCCGCGCCGCAUUAGCUAGUUGGUAAGGUAACGGCUUACCAAGGCAACAAUGCGUAGCCGACCUGAGAGGGUGAUCGGCCACACUGGAACUGAGACACGGUCCAGACUCCUACGGGAGGCAGCAGUAGGGAAUCUUCCGCAAUGGGCGAAAGCCUGACGGAGCAACGCCGCGUGAGUGAUGAAGGUCUUCGGAUCGUAAAACUCUGUUAUUAGGGAAGAACAAAUGUGUAAGUAACUAUGCACGUCUUGACGGUACCUAAUCAGAAAGCCACGGCUAACUACGUG